GUUCUUUCAUCUAGAUAAUUCUGACAUAGAUACGAGGAUUGUGAGGCUAUGGGGUUCUUUAUUGUCCUAUACUUAUCAGAGUAUCAGAAAUGGUAUUUAUUUUGAAUUAAAAAAUCACACAAAACAUGUUUUAAAAAGGUGAGAUACUGUCUUGGGAACAUGUAAUGAAAUCUACUCAAAAUAACACUAAAAUGAGGGUUCUGUUGAACUGGUAUUAGGUAUCAAGCACUAACACAAAGUAGCUCAUUAAGCCCCUCAGAUGUCUCAUGAGCUAAAUUGUUUUUAUCCUAUAUCUGAGAGAAGAAAAAAAUUUUUUUGAGUGACCUUCCAGUUGUGUUGCCUGUAUUAACUGGUAGUUUUUAUGAAUUAAAGGUUCCCCUGUAAUAAUACAUUUUCAUAAUUUUGGUCCCAAAAUUUUGUACACAAACAGCCAACAUGUUGGUUAAUCACAUUGCAAACAUGCUAAUAGUUUAUUUACACUUGCAUUUAAAGGGAAAGGGACCACUUUCUGACUAAAUAAUUUAAAUCUAAAUAUUAAUAUAAGACAGGUAUCUAUUCUUUUGAAGAAUUUAUUCAUUAAGAAAACCUAUAUUCCACUUACUGCUCCUACUCUCUUCUGAGUCAGACCACUCAUUACAGUGUUGGCUCUGAUUAGAAAAUAUAUUAGAAAAUUAAAGAUUUCUUGGCAAUCUCUAAGUCAUGAAUCUGAGACCUAUCUUAUUCAGGGCUUUCAUCUUAAUUUCACUUGGGACAUUUCUGGGAAAUAUAAGAUGCCAAUCUCUAUGGAAAAUUUGGAGCUGUCUCUCCCUAGUCCACAGCAGAAUUUGCCUAGUGUUCUAAAUUCUGUCUCUAAGGCAAACAAAACAGCAGCUAAGGCUCAGUGAGUGUGGACACCUCCAGAUCCUCCAGGAGUAAGAAUGUAGACAGAUUUAUGCAGAGGCUUCCUAUUAGACAUUCACCUUUGGACAGAAUCCAUUCUUUGUCUUCUGUCGUCUGUAGCUCUCAGUUUCGACCACCAGAAUUGAAACUCAAGGACACCAUGGCAUGCAACAAUUUGAGUGAGAAAGAAAAAGUCAGUGUGCCUUAAUCCUCAUUGCCUUUCCAUGUUGGGUUUUAUUGAGCAUAUUAUUACUAAUUUCAAGGAACAGUUUGUUUCUUAACCUUGUUCUAGAAUUUAUUCCACGGAGAGACAAACCAUAUUACAGACAUAUUUUUAAUAGGCAUUUUUCAUGCCAAAUGAGGAAUUGAUUUGAACCAAUUUUUCUCAUAUACAACUGA
This 1278-nucleotide long non-coding RNA is filed under the name Felis catus (domestic cat). Its description in RNAcentral is "lncRNA (ENSFCAG00000047594.1)". The record is from RNAcentral. Lineage: Eukaryota; Metazoa; Chordata; Mammalia; Carnivora; Felidae.